GAUGAACGCUGGCGGCGUGCUUAACACAUGCAAGUCGAACGAUGAAGCUGGAGCUUGCUCCGGUGGAUUAGUGGCGAACGGGUGAGUAACACGUGAGCAAUCUGCCCUUGACUCUGGGAUAACUGCGGGAAACUGUAGCUAAUACCGGAUACUUUCACUGGAAGGCAUCUUCUGGUGAAGAAAGAAUUUCGGUCAAGGAUGAGCUCGCGGCCUAUCAGCUUGUUGGUGAGGUAACGGCUCACCAAGGCGACGACGGGUAGCCGGCCUGAGAGGGUGACCGGCCACACUGGGACUGAGACACGGCCCAGACUCCUACAGGAGGCAGCAGUGGGGAAUAUUGCACAAUGGGCGCAAGCCUGAUGCAGCAACGCCGCGUGAGGGAUGACGGCCUUCGGGUUGUAAACCUCUUUUAGUAGGGAAGAAGCGAAAGUGACGGUACCUGCAGAAAAAGCACCGGCUAACUACGUGCCAGCAGCCGCAGUAA
Molecule: ribosomal RNA, 484 nt
Filed under: uncultured bacterium
Lineage: Bacteria
Description: partial 16S ribosomal RNA
Rfam family: Bacterial small subunit ribosomal RNA
Source: RNAcentral